This is a long non-coding RNA of Astatotilapia calliptera (eastern happy), 2564 nucleotides long. NCBI's taxonomy places the organism in Eukaryota, Metazoa, Chordata, Actinopteri, Cichliformes, Cichlidae. The record is from Ensembl.
AAAUAGUUCUACAAAUCUGAGCUGUUGGUGUGUCCUUGGAUUGUGUGGUAAUAAUAUUAGAGCCUGCAAGCUUUCUUACUGAAUCUCUACUAUGAGUCAUGUUACCUGAGAUUAAUUCUAUGUUUACCUGUCAGCCUGGACGAAUGUGCUGUGUGAAGGAAAUUAAAUUAAAUCAGAUCUGAACUGCGUACAUUUAAGGAACCUGUUCAUAUUUAAUAUGAACCAGUGAUUUUUUUGAUUGCUGAUUCCAAGAGAGUCUUUGUGGAAAUCCUGUUUGGCUUUUUGUUAUUUUAAUUCUCUUCUCUGUUUUCCAGAACAGUUCUCCACAGUCACUGUCCACAUGGGUCAGUGGCGCCAAGAAGCACUCUGCUAAUGUGGGACUCUGACCAGCAACAUCCAGCAGGACCCAGACAGCGUUUUCUAUCUCCCAGCUGGAGGUUUUGUUUGUCUGUAACUGGAGAGUCAGAUUUUUGUUGAGCUUCACACUUGCAGAGGUUAAUACACGCUACCGAUCCCUGAUAGGAGAAUCAUCAAUUUUGGCAACAAAGAAGCCUGGUGGAUGUUUGUUUACAGUCUGAUGUCUUUUCGCAGGAUCAGAAAACAAAACCAGGAGGCGCGUAAAUGUUGCUUCUCCAUGAUGUUUCUUCAAAUGUUUCUUCUGGAUGAUGAUAAGACUGUGACACGGGAUGCACCUUUGGUCUUGUGAUGAAGCAAAGCUCAGGAAGAAGUGGGAUUAAAUGGUACCCACAUGUGUGCUGCUGAGAAGGAUGUACAGGGGCACCUGCAGCCAAAUCCAAGCCUCAGGUUAGUUGUAGUUGCAGAAUGCUAUAGACUGAGACAGCUGAGGCAUCAAAUGUUUGAUUAAACGGAUGAAAAAGAGAAGUUUCUUCCCUAUAAUUAUCACUUCUUAAAAUCUGUAGCAACUUCAAGUCUGUCAGCGUGCGGAGCAUGCUCAGAAUGUGACAAUAUAUUUUUGUUCAAUAUUUAAUUUCUUUCAGUUGCAAUUGGUAAAUGAAAAAAAAUAUUUUCUUAUAAUUUAGCAAACUAAUUUAUCAAAAAAAAAAUAUAUACAUAUAUCUGUAUUAGUUUUAAUAAAUUAAUUUGACACCUGUAUGGAAAAUACCAUAUUGUAUUCAUACAGAAUCAGUUUGGUAUCAUUGUUGGUCUGCUCACUGAUUGUUGAAGCUAAGAGCUGCUUUGAUCUGUUUAGAUCUAAAGUAUCCAAAGUUGAGCUCUGAUGUUUCUUCACCCCUGUGUGUGUGAUAUGUGAUUCCUACAUGCUGGCAGAGCAGAGCAGCAGUUUUUGCUGACAGAUGGUGACGGUGUGGAGAGACGGUGGUGUUUCCUCAGAAGAACCAGCAGAGUCACUUGCUGACUGAUGCUCGUCUGCACUGCACAGAGGAAAUCAGCUGACCGAGGAGUGUUUCUGAGUGAGGGGGAGAGGAGUCAUCAUCCAGGUAAAGUGACGUGGAUCAGUGGACACACUUGUCUCCCCUUUAAAGGAGACGAUCCAAGUCAUCCUUAAAUAUGGGCAGCAUAUCAGUCUUGGACUGUCUAACCUGCCGGAGCAGCACUGAAUGACCACCACACACGAGCAUGUUCCUGCAACAUUCAGCAUCUGAUCCUUCAUCUGUGUGCUUCUGCUUUUGUGUCACAUGUCAAACAGCUGGAGAGGAAACUACACCAGUGUACUGGGAUGUUUCACCAACACACCAGAUGCUGUUCCUUCAUGGUGACAUCACCAGAGACAGCCCCGCCCACCUCAGGACCUCGCCAUUGAUCAUGAUGAUUAUAAUGAUGACAGCGAGCGGAACUAAGACUGUAAAAAUCCACGACCAGAAUGUUUCUUUCUAAUUAUGAAUGAAUACUGAGAGCCUCUUUCUGUGUUUUGUCUGUUUUGGGGUUGUUUUUUUUACCUCAUUUGUUACUAACAAAGUUCACAAACUCACACAGUUUACAUUCUGCAUGUUUCCAUCUUUACCAGCCACACUCCAACUGCAUUUAAGAAAAUAAUCCUUAGAAAUCGUCGUUUUUCUCUUUUGUAAUUGAUGAUAAUUCAGUGAAUAUACUGCGCUGCUUCCUUUUAUUGCGUCGCACAUUGCUUUAAGUUUUUCAGUGUCCAGUUAUUUUUUACUGCUGUUUGAAUUCUCUGUAUGUUUGACCCUGUAGACCAUAGGUGUCAAACUCUGGCCCGUGGGCCAAAUUUGGCCCGCAGCCUAAUUACAUUUGGCCCGCGAAGCCAUACCAAAUUACUAUUAGAGCAGGCCUACUGGUAUUAUACAGCUAAUAUAUAUAUUGUUUAGUAUUAGGCUUUGCUUGUUCCAUAUUCAGUUUUUCAGCAAAACUUGUUUGAGUCCAUAACAAAAGAUUCAUUCUUAUAUCUGGAGGAAGAUUUUUUUUCAAUAAAUAUUAACGUUAGCCCGCGACUUUGUUCCAGUUUUGAAUUUUGGCCCACUGUGUAUUUGAGUUUGACACCCCUGCUGUAGACUGUUUGAUGGACUGCUUGUCUUCCUGUUUGUAACCGCCGCCUGUUUUUUAAUAAAGAUUUGGAUUUCUGACUUCAA